AGGGGGCAAGCGUUAUCCGGAUUUACUGGGUGUAAAGGGAGCGCAGGCGGUAUGGCAAGUCAGAUGUGAAAACCCAGGGCUCAACCCUGGGACUGCAUUUGAAACUGCCAUACUGGAGUGCCGGAGAGGUAAGUGGAAUUCCUAGUGUAGCGGUGAAAUGCGUAGAUAUUAGGAGGAACACCAGUGGCGAAGGCGGCUUACUGGACGGUAACUGACGCUGAGGCUCGAAAGCGUGGGGAGCAAACAGGAUUAGAUACCCUGGUAGUCCACGCUGUAAACGAUGAAUACUAGGUGUCGGGGUACAUAAGUACCUCGGUGCCGCAGCUAACGCAAUAAGUAUUCCACCUGGGGAGUACGUUCGCAAGAAUG
Molecule: ribosomal RNA, 369 nt
Filed under: uncultured Eubacteriales bacterium
Lineage: Bacteria; Bacillati; Bacillota; Clostridia; Eubacteriales
Description: bacterial SSU rRNA
Rfam family: Bacterial small subunit ribosomal RNA
Source: RNAcentral